CACGUUGUAUAAAGGAAUAAGGAGAUAUGCUACAUCAGCUACUAUGAGAUGACUAAAAUGCCCCUUAUUUUAAAUAAAUUCAUACUAAGUACACAUGUUGACACCACAUUAUCACUCACUCUUCUAGUAUAGUAGAAAUAGAAAAAAAAAAUUAACUUAAACCCCAAAGCUUAGAUGAUUAUACAGUUACUUGCAUCUUUGGUUUUAAUUUCUCUUUCCCGGUUUUUAAGUUGCAAAGGGUAUGUACUAUAUUACAAAUAUAUAGAAAUGUCAUAAAGUAGGCAGUGGAAGCUGGUAGGUGGAGGUUAGUGGAAGCUGGUUGAUGGAGGUUAGCCUGCUCGUAAUAUUGUAUAAAAGUGUCAUAAAGUAAGGCAGGUGAAAGCUGGCAGAUGGAGGUUGGUCUGCCAGUUUUUCAAAGGUUAUUUUCAUCAUUUUAAUAAGGAUAAAUUGGUCAUUUUAAAUUUCAAUUGCUACACGUAUAACUUUGGGAAUGAUAAAAACAACCGCUGGCAUUUCCAUUGUUCCUUCUUGAUGAAAGCUUCUUCCUUUCCAUUGAAGAAUUCUCAUAAUCUUUUUGUUGUUACUAUCCUCUGAUAAUCUUCCUGUAUUGUGUUUUACGAAUGGUAAUAUUUCGUUGCUUCAGCAUCUGGAAGAUUCAUGAAAUCGGGGAUUGUUGCAGUCUGUGAAAUAUGUGCAGUUAACAUGUUCAAAACUUUUCCUCCCAAGUAUCUCUUAGCAAAAGUGAACAGGUUACCGCUCUAACAUCUUUAUCUGCUCUAAAUCAACAAGAAAGCAUUUGUGUUUAUAGACGUUAAAUGCCUAUAGCUCGCUGAUCUGUGUGUCAAUAUGAUUGCAUUAAUAUGUCUUAUAUUUCAGUUACCUGAGUGCUGCAGAUGAAAAUAAUUUAAUUUCCAUCAAAAAUGCACUUAAAAUAUUUGAGGAUAAGUGCACAUGAGAGAUUUGCAGCAAAAGGGUAAUCCAACUGGGGUUGCUACACGGAAUAUUCCUUAUUGGCAGGUAAAGCUGUUUAAACUGGUUGACUUGAUGGUGAAAAAUCGUACCAUACGAAAUGUGUUUACUAAUAUAUAUAUACAAGCUAUUACUUAUGGAACUUUUCCAAAUUUGUAGAAAGAGUUUUUGGAACUUAGUUGCAACCUGACUGUUCUGAUGUAGCUUCUUUCUGAGAAUAUCAAAUAUUCUUUACUUUGAUCGGAACAUAGUUAUUGUUUGACUUGGCAUCAUAGCCAGUAGUUACUUGAGAUGAGAUGUUUCUACAUUCGUUCUUCUAAGUGAUAUUUGUUUGUGUUGUCCUGCUAUUGUGUUCGAAUUACUGUAGCCGUUGAUUAGCGCAACUUUUUGUGCUACAAAGCUUACUCAGAUUUAAAGAACCUUCUGUCCUACUAUGUUGUCGAGACGAUGAUGUUUCUUUGAAUGAAGAUGUCUUGGAUGCAGCAAAGGUGGAGUAGGCAGAGAAGGCUCAAGUUCAUGAAUUAUAUUUUUCAGAUAGUGGUAGUGGUUGUUUUUGCUUGAUUUUUCACAAUCUUGUGAUGUACAUAAAUUGAUGUACAUAAUUUGGAUAAAAAAAGCUAUGUUUGAGAAAUCUAAAACCUACGGAAUUCAACUCGAUUCAACUCGACUCACCUCUCGAUUGACAACACUACAAGUUAGUUGAGGCUGAGGAUGAAGAGGGCAAUGCCAUAUGUUUUUGCUACCAAAGAAAAGGAGUAUUACUUUGAAAGCAAACUACAGCUGACUUUGCAAAGAGGAAGAGCAAAGGUGUGGACUUUGAAGCUCUAAGUCGCCAUGGGCAUAAAGAUGGAUUAUCUGUCCUAAAGUUCCACCACCCAAGGAGCCAGAACAGGAACAAAAUUGGUCUUGGUCAAGUGGGAAGGGAACUCGGGAAAAAGAGAAAGAAACAUCUGACUAAAUUGAUGAUUAGUUGAUCUCUUCAAACUUGUGUUUCUUGAUAGUUGAAAAAGUUUUAUUGUUUGCGUUAAGGAUUUAAAAGUUGAUUUUUCAAGUUCUUUCCGAUAAAAUGCUUUUUCCUGUUCUUUUUGAGAUUGACAACAAGUCUGCCAAUUUGAAACCCAAAAAAUUGACAAAAUCGUAACUAAAAUCUUUCUAGUUGUAUAGUAUUCGUAGAAGUAUCCGAUCUGUGUAGAAGGCGUCAUCUUGUGACGAUCUUCAGAACGCCAAUGUAAUUCCUGUAUAGGUAUAUACUACCAAUUUUGGUUACCCCAUGAGUCACGACAACACAAUUCUGUUCAACUAUAUGUAAGCCCUUGUGUCAUCGAUAGAGUUGUUAUUUGCAAACAUGUAUUAUAUAUGAACAAGGUACCAUAGACAUCAGGCUUUCAAAUGCUUCAA
Long non-coding RNA from Capsicum annuum, 2367 nucleotides. RefSeq lists it as uncharacterized. The record is from RefSeq and is a predicted model, not a curated record. The transcript has 4 exons. NCBI's taxonomy places the organism in Eukaryota, Viridiplantae, Streptophyta, Magnoliopsida, Solanales, Solanaceae.